This is a non-coding RNA of Podarcis lilfordi (Lilford's wall lizard), 72 nucleotides long. Lineage: Eukaryota; Metazoa; Chordata; Lepidosauria; Squamata; Lacertidae. The record is from the annotation of a GenBank genome assembly.
GCUCAGAUAGCUCAGUUGGCAGAGCAUGAGAUACUUAAUCUCAGGGUUGUGAGUGCGAGCCCAUGUUGGGCA